CAAACACUUCUAAAAGCUAAUUUAUACACUAUGGAGGGAAUUGAGAGAGACUCGGAUAACAAUACCAGUCUCUAUUACACACGAAUCAAGAGACAGGCGAAUAUAAACGCUGCUCAACAAUAGUCCAGACGUCUGUGCAAUGUAUGGAUGACUUCGGUCAAAUUGGGAAGAAAUGGACAGAUGAACGAGGGAGGCUCUGGGAUUAUGACUUCACGGCAAGUUAAAACUGAAGAUGCACAGUCGUAUACAUCUUCAUCACUGGGCUGGCAUCAACUCAUCUUGAUGGAACAGGGUUCCUUGAGGCAGUACAUGCUACACUACAUCUUCUCCCAGCACUUCCCCUGUUAGAAGCUACUGCUGAUAAUGGAGGGAUGUCCAUCACAGCCCCAUUAAACCUUAGCAGAUGUUGAUCAGAGAGAUAGGCGGGGUGGAGGGAGCAGAAGGCUGAUAAGGUGAAAGUAAGUAGUUGGUCCACUUUACAGAGAGCAUCUUAUUCUAUAUUACA
Long non-coding RNA from Alosa alosa (allis shad), 505 nucleotides. RefSeq lists it as uncharacterized. Lineage: Eukaryota; Metazoa; Chordata; Actinopteri; Clupeiformes; Clupeidae. The transcript is spliced from 3 exons. The record is from RefSeq and is a predicted model, not a curated record.